UGUGAUAUUUGUGUUUCUGUUUUUUCUUUUCUUCCUUUUUCUUCUA
RNAcentral lists this non-coding RNA (46 nucleotides) under Heterosigma akashiwo. Lineage: Eukaryota; Raphidophyceae; Chattonellales; Chattonellaceae. The record is from RNAcentral.